GCUGUGGCUAAUCACAAUCUCUGAAUGCGCAGCACAACCAUCUGACAGGCGGCUCUCCUCUCCCUCAGCCUGGAGAUGGUCCCAGAUUGUCAUGAGACAGACCACCUUGCUCCUAGUGGCACACAGGACGUACACAAUGGCUGCGCAUGGAGUUAAUGACAUGAAAGUGCCACACUGACGUCUGCCCGUCCGGAGUAGCUGUUAACCCCGGGCAUUUUAUUGCCCCAUUUGCCAGGUGAUUCAGCUGAGGAGGGGAAGUGACUUUCCCACGAUCUCGGGGUUAAGACGAUGCAGAACCCGGACUCCAGCCCACUGAUUCUGUUUUCAAGUCUCACACCUCUCUUCGUAGGUCUCUCAUCUCAGCCGCCUACGAAGGUCAAAUCCUGCAUAUUUACGCCAAACUUGAGAGUUGACCAAGUGCCUUUCCCAUGCAUCUUCCUGUUUCACCCCAAGCCGAAAGGUUUGGAAAACAUGCCACCCUUUUAACCUCGGAGAGACUUCUGCCUGGGAAAAGAAUUAAGUGAAAUAAACUCUUUUGAGGGCCUGUGAUCA
RNAcentral lists this long non-coding RNA (552 nucleotides) under Sus scrofa (pig). Its description in RNAcentral is "lncRNA (ENSSSCG00070001604.1)". Lineage: Eukaryota; Metazoa; Chordata; Mammalia; Artiodactyla; Suidae. The record is from RNAcentral.